CGUGGGAGGGGGCUUGCCCCCGAUAUCGGUGUAUCAGUCACAGCAACAUCGACUGGUCUACCGCUAUCGGGGGCAAGCCCCCUCCCACA
Molecule: non-coding RNA, 89 nt
Filed under: Pseudomonas poae
Lineage: Bacteria; Pseudomonadati; Pseudomonadota; Gammaproteobacteria; Pseudomonadales; Pseudomonadaceae
Source: RNAcentral